GGGGUCUUAGCUCAGGCGGAUAGAGCAGAAUUGAACGUCGUUGUUCGGCGCAUCAAGCCAAGCGCUUGGCUGAUUCGUGGAGACGCGAGAUUCCGGUCGGGGGUUCGAGUCCCUCAGACUCCACCA
RNAcentral lists this transfer RNA (126 nucleotides) under Parcubacteria group bacterium. RNAcentral's name for it is "tRNA-OTHER". It matches the Rfam family "tRNA". Rfam says of the family: Transfer RNA (tRNA) molecules are approximately 80 nucleotides in length. Their secondary structure includes four short double-helical elements and three loops (D, anti-codon, and T loops). The record is from RNAcentral.